GGGUACAUGGUCUAGUGGUAUGAUUUUCGCUUCGCAUGUGAAAGGUCCCCGGUUCGAUCCCGGGUGUAUCCA
Molecule: transfer RNA, 72 nt
Filed under: Chaetomium globosum CBS 148.51
Lineage: Eukaryota; Fungi; Ascomycota; Sordariomycetes; Sordariales; Chaetomiaceae
Description: tRNA-Ala (CGC) (tRNA-Ala-CGC-1-1, tRNA-Ala-CGC-3-1)
Rfam family: tRNA
About the family: Transfer RNA (tRNA) molecules are approximately 80 nucleotides in length.
Source: RNAcentral